GGGAAAGGUGCGCUUGCCAUUGCUCAUCAACCCGCCGGAAUGAUCGGUAUGAAUAUGAGUGAGGAUGACAUCAUCGAUGUCACCCACCUUGUAACCGGAAGCCUCGAUGUUGGACACGAGUUUGCCGAGCGAUGCCCCUAGAUAGCCACCAGUGCCUGCAUCGAUCAGCACCAGUCUUUCUCCAGUGUUGACAAGGAAAGCGUUGACGGAGGUUGGGACCAUGUCCGGCAGAAACGCAUCUUUUAACGCGUUUUGUGCAUCAUGCUCACUUGUGUUGGUGUAGAGCUUGGCAAGCGGCAGGGCUACAGUUCCGUCCGACAGGGCCGUGACCUCCACAGAGCCGAUUUUUAACCGGUAGUAUCCGGGCGCUUGAACAACUGCAAAGGGUGCCUUGGCGAAAGUGACCGACGGUGCAACAAAAGGUGCGACGAUGAGGCCGGUCAGAGCGCUUUUGAGAAUGGAACGACGGGACGGCAUGAAUUUGCUCCUUGAUUAAGGGUGCGGAGUGACUUGCAAGUUCCUCCUCAUCAGCUAAGGAU
Molecule: small RNA, 539 nt
Filed under: Sinorhizobium meliloti 2011
Lineage: Bacteria; Pseudomonadati; Pseudomonadota; Alphaproteobacteria; Hyphomicrobiales; Rhizobiaceae
Description: putative ncRNA
Source: RNAcentral